AGCAGCGUAGCGCAGAGGAAGCGCGCGGGGCUCAUAACCCCGAGGUCGGAGGAUCGAAACCUCUCGCUGCUA
Basidiobolus meristosporus CBS 931.73 is the source of this 72-nucleotide transfer RNA. It matches the Rfam family "tRNA". Rfam says of the family: Transfer RNA (tRNA) molecules are approximately 80 nucleotides in length. Their secondary structure includes four short double-helical elements and three loops (D, anti-codon, and T loops). Further hydrogen bonds mediate the characteristic L-shaped molecular structure. tRNAs have two regions of fundamental functional importance: the anti-codon, which is responsible for specific mRNA codon recognition, and the 3' end, to which the tRNAs corresponding amino acid is attached (by aminoacyl-tRNA synthetases). tRNAs cope with the degeneracy of the genetic code in two manners: having more than one tRNA (with a specific anti-codon) for a particular amino acid; and 'wobble' base-pairing, i.e. permitting non-standard base-pairing at the 3rd anti-codon position. The record is from Rfam. NCBI's taxonomy places the organism in Eukaryota, Fungi, Basidiobolomycota, Basidiobolomycetes, Basidiobolales, Basidiobolaceae.